CCUCUAACUGCAUUUACAAACAGAUUCAAAUCAAUAAUUUCUAUAAAAUGGAAGUAUUCUAUUUGCACUUACAUAUAUAAAUAAUAAAAAUUAAUGGACUCUUUCAUAUACAUGGGAGAACUACUAUUUCUAUGCCUCUCUAAAAUCAUCAAAAUCAAAGACUGCAAAUAAUGAGAUUUUUGGGAGUAGAUGCUUUGAACUUCAGCUUCUAGCAGUUCAUCCUUUUUAGCUUUCAUUAAUUUUUUAUUCUUGUGCACUUCUAAUUUUAUGAACAGAACUACAUAAAUACAUAUAUCUCAAAUUUAAGCAAAUUCCAGUCUCGACCGACUCGAUUUCUCUUGCUUAAAAAUAUGUAUCAUUCAUUUGAUAUACCAAUAUAUUUAUUUACAUAAAA
Drosophila mojavensis is the source of this 394-nucleotide long non-coding RNA. RefSeq lists it as uncharacterized. NCBI's taxonomy places the organism in Eukaryota, Metazoa, Arthropoda, Insecta, Diptera, Drosophilidae. The transcript is spliced from 2 exons. The record is from RefSeq and is a predicted model, not a curated record.